Molecule: long non-coding RNA, 638 nt
Organism: Drosophila miranda
Lineage: Eukaryota; Metazoa; Arthropoda; Insecta; Diptera; Drosophilidae
Exons: 3
Source: RefSeq, a predicted model, not a curated record
UUUUUUUUUUUUCAGAGAACGCAAAUGCAAUGCCGAAACCAUGCGACCCAAUGGAACCGACUGGACAAUACAACGGAGUGUUUUACUUCAGCAUAAAUGCCACACGUUUUAUUUUCGAUUCACCAGUUCUGGCCGAAGGUUUUAGGACAGGAAGUGACGGGAAUUCAAAUUAUGUCUUUACGGAGUUGCAGUUUCGCACAACCGUUGCGACGCCCUCAAGUGGUGGUCCAAGUGCUUUCUGGUGAGCAUCGAAAACAUUUACGUUGCUAAUGUUAACCGCGACACCAUCGCGCACACCAUUAACAAGCUAUCUGUGCGCCAACUUUGGAAGGACUGCGAAAAAGCCUGGUCACCGAAUGUCUGUGUCAAUUUCCUGCUGCGGCUGGUGGACCAGAUUCGCGGCUUUAUGUCGGUAGUCGACUGCCCCAAGACCGUGUAUCUGAUGAAGUUUGAUGCUAGCCAGGGGAGAUCUCGUACACUUCGUAUCUUGGCAGGAACCAGUACACCUUCAUUCCCGAUUGGUUUCGCAUCAUGUUGGACGAGCGCAUGGAGGACCUAACCCCCACAACACUUCAUAAGAAUUCAAGAAAAUAAUUUUUCAUUUCAUUGUUGAGUAGAUAAAUGAAGUUUUAAGUUUA